UGGGGGCCAGCCAGAGCCUACAACUCUGUGACGAACCUGUAAAUCCCUUUCUCUUUCCUUCUGGUUCUGGAAGGGGUUCUCUAACUCAGAGACACAAAGAGACCCAUUUGGACUCAGAUCCCUCAGUAAGGAAGAUGUGGCCGUGGAGAAAGAGGACCCUUUUCCAUACCCUCCCGACCUGGUAGCAGGGCCUGGGGCCAGACUGUCUAACAAGGAGCACCAGUCUACGGAUAUGAGGUCUAGAACCACUGCAACCAUUUUUGACCAUGCAGGAAGAUUCUGGAACUGCUAGAGGUUGUGGGGAAGCCCAGCAGGGUGCCUGAAGAGGAAGCCAACACCACAGAAGGCAGAGCCAAGAGGAGAAGAAGAAGUCCUCGUGAUGGCAUCAAGUCCCUGGAUCAAGCCUCACCUGAAGCCUAACCCAAUGCUGGUCUUUUUAGUGGCCUCAGCCAAUUAAAUGUUCUUUAUUAUAUAACCCAA
Capra hircus (goat) is the source of this 480-nucleotide long non-coding RNA. RefSeq lists it as uncharacterized. NCBI's taxonomy places the organism in Eukaryota, Metazoa, Chordata, Mammalia, Artiodactyla, Bovidae. The transcript has 3 exons. The record is from RefSeq and is a predicted model, not a curated record.